UACCAACCCAUACCUAUCAACUCUCUCUCUCUCUCUCUCUCUCUCUCUCCUUUCACUUGUGCCAAAAUGACCAAACUAUCCCGCGGUGCUAAAGUGGUGUUUGGUUUAUCGAAAACUAUAAAACAUUAAUUUUUUAGAAAAAGUUUUUAAUAAACCGACCGUCCCUGACGCAAGUGGCAAAAGUAUUGAUAGUUGGUACUCGAGAUCUCAAGUUCGAAUUCUAGUCGAUUCAUAUUUAUAAUUAAGUUUAUUUCUAAAUGAAGUAAACGAAACGGGUAGCAUGCUACCUAUUUCUCAAAAAAAAAAAAUUAAAGAAAAAUAUUAUUUUAAUAAUUUUUAUUUUCGAAUAAAAAAUUUAGAAAAUAAAAGUUCAUAAAAUUUG
Molecule: long non-coding RNA, 382 nt
Filed under: Ananas comosus (pineapple)
Lineage: Eukaryota; Viridiplantae; Streptophyta; Magnoliopsida; Poales; Bromeliaceae
Description: long non-coding RNA (ACOM_LNC021852)
Source: RNAcentral